GUUGUUUGGUUUUUUUUUUUUUUUUUUUUUUGAGACAGGGUCUGGCCAUGCAGCACAGGCUGGCCUCAGAUUCAUGGUGAUCUUCCUGCCUCAGCCACCCAAGUGCUGAGCUUACAGGCAUGUGCCACUGCACUUGGCCAAAGCUACUUAUACUUUAUUUCUACAUACAUAGCAAUGAAACACUGUCAGGACAACAAUAUUCUAGAAGUUUCUUUUAGGUAUUACUUUUUUCUUUUUUUCAAGCAGAGGACAAACAGGAAGGAAAAACAGGAAUUGAAUCCCCUAGCACGCAGUCAUGUGUCUUUGUUUCUCAGAGCCUCGGUUAAAGCGAAGAGAGCUCCAGCCCAAAGGAAUUUCCCUGGAAGCCCUGAUUCAGCCAUCUCCUGAACCCCAGGGCUGUGCUUGUCUGGUUUUUGCCUUGUUCUGAAUAUGAGGCCUUCUGCCGUGCUCUGCAGGACCGCAGCCCAGGCACAGAGGCAGACAGACUCGGGAGCCAGCCAGGAGGAGUGCAAGGCACCUACCCAGGACGGACAAAUCCUUCCCGGAUUUGUGCACUGAGUUAUGAGGAGAGGUGACUGCACAGCUGAAGGGGGACAGAGGAGGUGGCCACACUGGAGAGUGCAAGAGCCUCUUCCUCCAGUGACCUGUCAGCAGCAGGUGAAGCAGGAGUGUGGGCGAAGCCCUGAGAGGAAGCACACUUGUAGGAAAGAGCCAACAAGGAGGAGAGGAGAUGAAUGAGCUCCUCAAGGUGGUAACAGAUGGAGAGAGGCAGGAAGAAGACAAGAUCAAGAUGGAGGAACGAACUUGCGAGUAGAAAGCCUGUUUCUUCCUCUGAGACUAUAGCCAGGUUUUCAGGGAGGGGAGAAAAAUGUAGGGAGUUCUUUCGGUAGUUCUAAGGGAACUUUGGGAGUGCUGAGACCAAACAGCUGCAAUGAGACUGGGAGGAAAUUAAGGUCUGGUUUCAUCAUUUGCAAAACAGUGACUGACACCUCAAGAUGAACUGCAGUAGUCUCACCAGCAGUGAGCUGCUGCUGCGUGAGCGGGAUGAGUGAUAGUUUUACUGCUAUUCAUCUCUGGAAAGAAGGAGGCAAGGUCGUCUAUGCAGGGGAAACAGGAAGGGAAUGGCUUGGGGGAGGAAGCCGGACGGGAGUGAGGCUGAGACAGCUGGAGGGCACCUCGCAGGAAAGGCCUGAGGCAGAAGGAGCAGCUCAGGCGAGAGGGCAGGAAUUCGCACAGUGAACUGGGAAGCAGGAUCUUAGCAAGACCCACGCGGGAUCCCAACAGCCCGGGGGUAGGGAUCCACAUUCACAUCGUUGAUUGACGACGGCUGCCUUAGUUUUGGGGAAACUGGUCUGAUGACGGGAGCUGCACAACUAGGCACUGCUCCCAUGCUUGGAAUUCGGAGCCCCAGUUUCUCACCCAUCAGUGCCAGACAGGUGUGGGCUGUUGUCCUAGAGCCGUGCACUGUCAGCCUUCAGUUAUGUAAGAGGCCAGGGAAGGUGUGACUAAGGAAGCAAGAGCCAGAUAGAUGGUGAAUAGUAGUUUACGAGGGAGACCUGACUAUGCAGUGGCUUUGAGAGUCUCUUUAUACAGCCAGGUGUGCUGGCACCUGCCUGUAAUCCUAGCACUCAGGAGGCCGGGGCAGAAGGAUCAUCAUGAGUGCAAGGCCAGCCUAAACUAUACAGUGACACCUUGUCUCAAACAAAAAAAACAAAAACAAAAACAAAAGUGAAGUUACCUUACACUGUAUAUCAUUUCAUUUGACAAGAAUUGUCAGUUGACAUACAGCAAAAAGAGUUUCUCAACCUCAGGACUUUGCCACUUACUUGAGGCCAUAUAAGUCUGUGUCAUAAGGAUCUGUCUUGUAUAUUGGGGGUGUUUAGGAGCACCCCUGUGUUCUACCCACUGGAUACCAGUAGCAGCCCUGUAACCAUCAUCCACUUUUAACUAUCACAAAAUGUCUCUUGCCAUUGCUAAUUUUGCCCAAGGGUAAAAUUUCCCCUAGUUGAGAAUCCUAGCAGGACAAUGAUCACUCUUAAGGAGAAACAUCCUUCUCUUCAUGUCUCAUCAUUAUUUUGAACUCAGCUCUGACGAUCUUCCCUCCCAGGUUCUCCUUCUUCCUCAUUAGCAAAUCCUAAAGCUGUUGCAUCACCUCAGGCAGGACCAAGCCAACAGACUGCAAAGCACAUUUCAGAAUUAGACUUAAACAUUGCAUGGUGCUUACUUACACAAGAAACCCUGAGUACAAAUAAAGAGAUAAACGAAAAGACGGUAGAGAGAUAUUUCUCAAAUGCCAAAGGGAUCAAGAGAUGAAGGAAGCAGAGGGAGAGAAGGGAAAGGCGAUGUGAAGGGAAUUCAGAUGUUACAUACAUGGACCAACUCUACGAAAGAAAUGAGGAAUGAAUGAAGAGGCAUUUCAUCUGGAGGAGCUCCAGCUCUGCAGAACCUGAAACCCAUGCAGUUUGCGAAGCUCUCCUGAUGAACAGUAAUGCAAAAUUAUAAACGGCGCCUGCCUGGGAGGAGGCCAAGUCAGGACUAAGCCUGGCUCCCCGGCUCCACCAGUGCAUCCAUCCCUCAUCCCAAAUUCUCUACUUCCUGUGAGCUUAAUUCUUGGUUUAAUUUUCUUCUCUAGCCUGUUCUCCUCUCCCUCCAUAUUACCUUAGAUAAUCCCCAAAGUUCAUCAAAUCGGUGUGUUUUUCGCCUGUACACAGCUAUGUAAGAUGCUAUGUCUUUUGUUUCCUUUUCCCACAAGUUGUUGAAGAUGAAACCACUGCUGUUUUCUCCAAAAGAGGUUCAAAUUUGACCUGAGACUAUGUAAAAGAAACCCUCUCAUCUUAAUUUCCC
Molecule: long non-coding RNA, 2844 nt
Organism: Cavia porcellus (domestic guinea pig)
Lineage: Eukaryota; Metazoa; Chordata; Mammalia; Rodentia; Caviidae
Source: Ensembl